Molecule: ribosomal RNA, 274 nt
Filed under: uncultured bacterium
Lineage: Bacteria
Description: partial 16S ribosomal RNA
Rfam family: Bacterial small subunit ribosomal RNA
Source: RNAcentral
CUACGGAGGGUGCAAGCGUUACUCGGAAUCACUGGGCGUAAAGCGCGCGCAGGCGGCUAUUUAAGUUGGAUGUGAAAGCCUACGGCUCAACCGUAGAACUGCAUCCAAAACUAUUUAGCUAGAGUGUGGGAGAGGAAGAUGGAAUUAGUUGUGUAGGGGUAAAAUCCGUAGAGAUAACUAGGAAUACCAAAAGCGAAGGCAAUCUUCUGGAACACUACUGACGCUGAGGCGCGAAGGCGUGGGGAGCAAACAGGAUUAGAAACCCUAGUAGUCC